Molecule: long non-coding RNA, 1391 nt
Organism: Papaver somniferum (opium poppy)
Lineage: Eukaryota; Viridiplantae; Streptophyta; Magnoliopsida; Ranunculales; Papaveraceae
Exons: 5
Source: RefSeq, a predicted model, not a curated record
UCUAUCUGUUUUACUUGAGAAAAUCUAAUUCACUCAACCCAUCUUUACUCAUCAUUGCCAUCUCCUCUCCCUCUCUUCACCUGAUUCACCAAAUCUCUUCAAAAACCCUAAUUCUUUUACAUAAAAUCAGACCAUUUACUUUCUAUGGUUCUCCUAGGUUAGGUUAGGUCUUGGUCGGGAAGAACACAGACUCAGAGUAGACAUGAAUUGUGCUGCUACCAGUUGCUGGUUCGAUGUGGGGUUCUGAUUUUAACUUUGAUGUCGUGAAUUAAAUGGCUAUACAUUUAAAUCAGAGAAGAAGUGAAUCGGAAGGAAUUAGUGAGGAUUUUGUGGAGUUACUCAGCGGAGAAGUGAAUCGGAAGGAAUUGGUUUACUUAUGGAAUUUGAUGGGGGUUUGAUGUUAUGAAUGGCUGAGCAGUUAGUGAAUAUGACUUUUUCUGUUUGCAUAAUAUGCUAGAGGUAAUUUGCUGUCUGGAGGGAGCUAGAAUUGGCAUCCAGUAUGAGACAUCUUUUGUCAUUAAAACCCAUCAUUUCUAAUGUUUAUAAUUUUGGCACAAGCUUUAAACCAUACCAAUGGUACACAGAGCUUUGCCAGAAAAGCGUAUGAAAGGGCGCGCAAAAAUCUCCCAGUUAAUCCACUCAGUAUGUUCAUGGUAACUCACAAGGCUAGUAAGCUGGGUAAACUGUGUGAAGAUUGGCAGAGAUGAAACGGAUUAGUGAGAAGGUUCAUCUAGGGAAGUCAGCUACACGCCUGAGGAAAUAUAUGCAAUGAUUGUUGAUCCUCGUCGUACUGGUGUUAAGCGUGCUCGUAAGUCAAAAGUUUCUACUCGCUUCAGUCUAUAUGAGAAAAAUGAAGCACACAUGUCUGCUCUCCAAGAACAGCUGGACUCUGAAAAGAAGAAAGUUGCAAAGCAAGACAAAGAUAUCUCAAAGCUUCAACGGAGGGAGCGUAAUCUCAGAGAGUAUUUGAAUGAGGCUUUGAAGAUUCUUGGUUGUGAACUCGUGCCAGAUGAUCUAGAAGAUGAGUCUGAAGAUGAACGUCAACAGGAGAAUGAAGUUGAAGAUGGAUUUACUUGGGAUGACUUGCGCGAAGAUGAUUUGCAGGAUGAUGGAUGUGCUGAUGUUAAUCAGGAGAAUGAACUAUCUGGAGAGGAAGAUGGUGAGGAAAUUAAUGAAUGAUGUGUGUGCAGUUGUGUUUUGAUGAAUAUACAGGUCUCAUGCCGUUCACUGGACCCUUUUUGGCCUUUUGUUCAGACCUUUUGUUCUUUUCGGGGAUGGGUUGUAAACCAGUUAUGUUUCUUUUUUUUUUUGGUAACAAGUUAACGUCUUUUACUGGGUGGGGAAACUGAAGUAUAUAUCACUUGUAAUAAAGCAACGGUUAAUUAAUGAUA